UGGCUCAGAUUGAACGCUGGCGGCAGGCCUAACACAUGCAAGUCGAGCGGAUGAAAGGAGCUUGCUCCUGGAUUCAGCGGCGGACGGGUGAGUAAUGCCUAGGAAUCUGCCUGGUAGUGGGGGACAACGUUUCGAAAGGAACGCUAAUACCGCAUACGUCCUACGGGAGAAAGCAGGGGACCUUCGGGCCUUGCGCUAUCAGAUGAGCCUAGGUCGGAUUAGCUAGUUGGUGAGGUAAUGGCUCACCAAGGCGACGAUCCGUAACUGGUCUGAGAGGAUGAUCAGUCACACUGGAACUGAGACACGGUCCAGACUCCUACGGGAGGCAGCAGUGGGGAAUAUUGGACAAUGGGCGAAAGCCUGAUCCAGCCAUGCCGCGUGUGUGAAGAAGGUCUUCGGAUUGUAAAGCACUUUAAGUUGGGAGGAAGGGCAGUAAAUUAAUACUUUGCUGUUUUGACGUUACCGACAGAAUAAGCACCGGCUAACUCUGUGCCAGCAGCCGCGGUAAUA
This 510-nucleotide ribosomal RNA is filed under the name Pseudomonas sp. RNAcentral describes it as "bacterial SSU rRNA". It matches the Rfam family "Bacterial small subunit ribosomal RNA", at positions 20 to 525 of the family's 1533-position model. The record is from RNAcentral. Lineage: Bacteria; Pseudomonadati; Pseudomonadota; Gammaproteobacteria; Pseudomonadales; Pseudomonadaceae.